Molecule: ribosomal RNA, 544 nt
Filed under: Agaronia acuminata
Lineage: Eukaryota; Metazoa; Mollusca; Gastropoda; Neogastropoda; Olividae
Description: partial 12S ribosomal RNA
Source: RNAcentral
CACCAAGGAGGUACAGUUAUAUAUUAAUGGUAAAAAGACAGUUAAACUACAAUUAGUGUUUAUUGCAUACUUAUAAAAAGGUAGAAUUUGAAUAUAAAUUAGCAAUCUAAUAAUAACUAGGAAGUUGAAGCUGUGACAACCUUGAGGGAAACUGGGAUUAGAUACCCCAUUAUUCUUGGUUAUAAAUUAACUUUGUUUACCAGAGCACUAUGAAUAAUAAAAUUUAAAACUCAAAGGGCUUGGCGGUGUUUUAGACCCUUCAGGGGAACCUGUCUCAUAAUCGACAAUCCACGUUGGACCUAACCUCUUUUUGCUUAAACAGUUUGUAUACCGUCGUCGUCAGGUAACUUUCAAAAAUUUAGAAGUUAGCAACUAGAACGAUUUAAGUUAAAACGUCAGAUCAAGGUGCAGCUAACAAAGAGGUGAGGAUGGGUUACAAUUAUAGAUUUAUAAAACGGAUUAUUGAAUGAAAUACUCACUAUGAAGGAGGACUUGAAAGUAAAGUAUGUCAUAAGAAUUGCUUGAAUAUGGCUCUGAAACGUGC